Solenopsis invicta (red fire ant) is the source of this 897-nucleotide long non-coding RNA. RefSeq lists it as uncharacterized. The transcript has 2 exons. NCBI's taxonomy places the organism in Eukaryota, Metazoa, Arthropoda, Insecta, Hymenoptera, Formicidae. The record is from RefSeq and is a predicted model, not a curated record.
CAAAAUAAAUAAACAUAAAUAAAAACCACUCCUUCAAUUAGAAGGAAAUAAAAAUUCUUGACACCGAAGAAAAUUACCAAAAAAGAUUAAUUUCGGAAAUGAUACACAUAAAACAACAAACAAACGGACUAAACUCACAGAAUGAUACAGAACUUCUUCAUGAUUCUUAUUUGUGUUUACUUGACUCGUUUAAAAACAACACAGAUAUACGUUAUUGACUUCUGCUUCAACGGUUCUGCCUCACUUGUGCUCUGUCUGUCUCGGCAACAAGAUCGUCGACAAUGGCGAACGUUUAUAUAAUUACUGUUCGAACAUCUGUUCAAAGAAUAAAUGUGGCGAAUACUACGUUUGUAUAAUAAACUUACAUAUGAAGCCGCGACUGAUUUCACGAGUUUCAUCAUGUGAGGAAAAAAUUGUGCUGCUUGGAGGACUCUCUUCAUUCCACUAAAGAAGGAACGGAUUAACACACUUACGCGCGCGCGCGCACGCGCGCGCGCACACACACACACACACACACACACACCCGCAGGCGCACACACACGUACACACGCGCGCGCGCGCAUAAAAUGAUUGUGAAAAUUAUAAUGGAUUUUCGACUUUCUACAUGGAACGAGGUCCAUCUUAUUGUUAGUACUGCUCUACAUAGGUUUAUUUUGACUACACACAAAAUACUUCUGUUUACAUUAACAUACAAAAUGGUAUUCCUUUUUUUGAUACACGUAAACAGCAUUACUCGAUUAUAUUAUUUAACCGAAUUUAUUUUUGAAUAGCAAUAUAAUUAUACUGAUCGUAUUAACAAGUUGUUUUAUAUUAUGCAUAAUUUUUUUCCAUUAAAUAAUGUUAAUAAUGAAUAAAUAUAUCAUAAACGUUUAUUUAAUAAAUAUAUUUUCUUAUAUA